UACGUAGGGAGCAAGCGUUGUCCGGAAUCAUUGGGCGUAAAGCGCGUGUAGGCGGUUACAUAAGUCUGUUGUGAAAGUCGGAGGCUCAACCUUCGAAAGCCGAUGGAUACUGUGUGACUUGAGUACGGAAGAGGAGAGUGGAAUUCCUGGUGUAGCGGUGAAAUGCGCAGAUAUCAGGAAGAACACCCGUGGCGAAAGCGGCUCUCUGGAACGGUACUGACGCUGAGACGCGAAAGCGUGGGGAGCGAACAGA
Molecule: ribosomal RNA, 253 nt
Filed under: uncultured bacterium
Lineage: Bacteria
Description: partial 16S ribosomal RNA
Rfam family: Bacterial small subunit ribosomal RNA
Source: RNAcentral